AGAAGACGCAGAAGAAUCUAUUGAUGGACGAUUUAAGGACACCUUCAGAACUUUGUGGCACUUUUCAAGGCAACCAGUAGUCAUGCCAAUUAUUGUGUCACAAAAUGGUUUGUACAUGUCAGUUUCAUUUAGUUAUUUCAAACAAUUUCAGAAACAACCCUAAAGGGCAGAAUAGUUGGAGAAAAAAAUCUGCGCUGCUCUUGGUAUAUCAGUGUGUUUGGAACGGCCUGAAAGCUGGGAUUGGACGCCCCCUGCAGCUGGACGCGCUCCGUUCUUUGAAAAGAGCCUGGAAAGACUCCUCCCCCUCCAGCCUUGCUCCACUCUGCUCCUGAUUAUUCACCAGCUGUCGGCACUUCUCUCAUCACCCUCUGCUGCUUAAAAGGAAACCCAAUGCCACAAAUCAACGCCAGUUGGUUGCCCAUUAUGGAAUUCUGCUCACGAGUGACGUCAGGGUGGACCCCUCUCUCUGCUGUCUGGAAGAACCCAAGGACUGCCGCGUUCGUACCUUCAGCCGUGCCACAGCCUUUCACCUAUCUGGAUCAUCUCUCGCCUUCUCACAGCGUCAUCCUUGGAGAAACAAUAAAUUAUUCUUACCUGCCACGUACCUGUCCUGAUUCUGGGAUCCAGCGUCUGGGUCCGCCUAGCAUUGAAAUCAUGACACUAUUUACUUUAUUUCAGCAGUGUUGCCAGAAUAGACGGUUUCCUGCCCAAUUGGACGGUUUAGAUUCUACAUUUGAGGGCAAAAAUAGCUUUAGGCGGAUGGACAUAAUGUGGGCGGGUUUGGGUUCGGUUCAGUGGUUCCUUAUAACACGUCUCAGCAGGAACGGAAAGGUGAGCCAGUGUUUUACCUGUAAACCAUCCUCACCAUCUGGAGGUACUGAUAAUAAAAUAAAAUCUGUCCACUUAUUUACGCUAAAUGUAGUUUAUAUGAUGAUUUUCCAUCCUUUUGCUGUAUUUUGCAUGUUUUGUUUACAACUACGUCGCGGGAAACAGCGCACAGAGCGCAGCAAAGAUUGUGCAAUCCCUGGGUCAUAGCGCCUUUAGUUUACUCUGUUUAUGCUAAUAAUCUCAUUCUUUACUAACCAUUGUACACUGUAAAAAAAAAAGGUAUAUAACCGUAAAAAACCUUGAAACCACGACAGGAAAACCUUUUAUACUAUAAAACUGUUCACAAUUGUCAUUUUGACUUAAAGUUCCUGUUAAUCAGUUCACUGGUAAAAAUUGUAAUUACUAAAUUAUUUCUUUGGAAAAAAUACAUAAUUUUACUGUAAAGGACUUGGGCAUUGUUAUUUUAACGGAACUUUUCUAUAAUGCUUAUAAUAGUCAAACACUUUUAUUUUUACAACUUUUUAUUGACAAAAGCACAGGUUUUUAUGGUAAAUGUUAGUGUGCAGUGGCUGUAAUAUGUUGUGUUUUUUGCAGGAAUUUGAGAGUGGGGUUAAAUGAACUACCGUAUUU
This is a long non-coding RNA of Oryzias latipes (Japanese medaka), 1458 nucleotides long. RefSeq lists it as uncharacterized. Lineage: Eukaryota; Metazoa; Chordata; Actinopteri; Beloniformes; Adrianichthyidae. The record is from RefSeq and is a predicted model, not a curated record.